Long non-coding RNA from Prionailurus viverrinus (fishing cat), 2867 nucleotides. RefSeq lists it as uncharacterized. The transcript has 3 exons. Lineage: Eukaryota; Metazoa; Chordata; Mammalia; Carnivora; Felidae. The record is from RefSeq and is a predicted model, not a curated record.
CAUGACCUGAGCUGAAGUAGGACGCCCAACCGACGGAGCCACCCAGGCGCCCCAUGGCAAUCUUAAGUGUUCAUGAUGAGGAAUGUAGAUUCACAAGGCUUCGGUCAUUCCUGAGUGUGCUUUUAAACUUAGGCCAAGAAAAAAUAACUUAAUCGUACAUGGUGGAACCAUAAUGUGCCACUAAUAACAGGAGAAAACAAGACAAUUUGCUCUUGAAAAACACCAAAGAUAAUUUCAGAAUUUUGACUCUGGAUGCUGAAAGAAAUCAUCUGCUCCUUCUUCUGUUGGCUGCCCAUGAUUAACUCCAGAACUUGCUCUGUUGCCACUUCAACAGCCACUGAAAAACAAAGACUAUGCCAGCCUUACUGUCUUUUAGAAUUUCACAGCAUUUAAUUUUGAUGGAACGUUCUACUUUUAGAGUAUAGUUGUAGACAACAAAGGUAGCGGGUAUUCAGCUAGUUUUGAUUUUCUUGGCGUAACAACCAAUUCAAUUUAUGAGAAGAACACAAUUGUUCGACAAAUACGUUUCCUUGUUGCGAUUGGUGGUAGGCUGGAGUUGUGAAGCCAAUGAGCAUAUUCAUUCAUUUCCUAAUUGUUUUCACCAAAGAGCACUGCCAGUGAUUAUCUCAGAUCUUCUGUUCGCAGAGUUACUAAUCAGUUACUUCAGGUUUUGUCCUUCAGACCAAUCUGCUUUCUUCCAAAAACUUAAGGGUUAGGCUCAAAUCAAAUCACUUUCCAAAGUAGUAGCCACACUAUUUUUCACUGGUCUUGGUAAAUUCCUUUCCUCCCCACUCCACCCUAAGAAAGCCUAAAAGUAAUUCAUAUUUUCUGGUUGUGUGGAUAGUUUGACAAAUUAUUUUCAGGAGUAAGAGGGAUAGAGUGUGACCCAAGAAAGCCUGCUAAUUUUAUGGACUGCAUUACGACUGAAGUCUACCAGUACUUUCUUCCCAGAAUAUUAGAACUACCUUGUGGCUGGAUCAUUCUGGAUGAUCAAGGGACAGAAGCUAAAAUCAGUGCUUUGUGAGUGUAAACACAGACUUAAACAAAAUCUAUAAAAGGAAAUGUUGACCUUUGGUAAGAAUGGAAAUAACUCCAACUGAAUGAUUCUUAUUUAUAGGCUGCUACAUAAAUAUUUGGCAUAGCAGGAUUGGCACAGUCACCCCAAGGAUUCAUGAGACUCUUCUUUCUGAAUGGAUAUAUCUUCUUAGCUAUUAGCCCUUCCUUCCUUACUGCCUAGCUACAAGAGGGAGGAAAGCCGUAAGUGCUGACAGGGCACAAAAAGGACCAGCUAAAAAUAAAGUUUCUUGAAAUGCACAGAAGCAUGUGAUGCCCAGAAUUUCAGGCUAGAUAUAAUACUGAAUGAAUUGGGUUCUCAUGAAGAAGCCUUCUUAUAAAAAUAUAUGUGACAACUUCACAUGCAGCUAAUGAAAGAAGAAUGAGAAAGGCUAAGAAGAAAGAAUGUCGUUUGUCAGGCAGCCAGCCAUCACUGCAGUGAGCCUCUUAUAGCAGCCAGGUGAUGCAGCAAUAAUUAACGCCGCCAACUUUAUUGGGCAGAACUGGUUAUCCUUAUGCUGGAGGGGUGUGAGGCAUAUGGGAGGAAAAGACAGGGAAAAUAGUUACUUUUUGUUUCCCUCGCAGUUAAUUAAAUUAAAUUGAAAAAUAAAUUAAAACACAUCAAUGCUUGAAUUCUGUCUUUCUGUCCUCCUGAACACGAAUAGAAAGCUCUGCUCUGACUUUCCUGUAACAUGCAAAGAGAGUACAUUGUUUUUAUACAUAAUACAGAAAGAAAUGAGUCUUAAAGUCCAAAUAUUAUCAACGUAAAUGUGUUACGUUUACAGUUAAGGUAGGUUCUUACUUUAAUCUAUCUAUGAAAUAUUUUAAAAAGUGGUGGGUUUUUUUUUUGGUGAAUUAUAGAUAUGUAGUUGGACUGAUUAGUUUAUAAGUCUGCAUAUAUGAUUUCAAAGAAAUUGUGCUUACCUAGUUGUUGGGGAAAUAAACACUCUACAAUAAGAAGUGCUCAGCUCAGCAUGAAGCAUGGGAGUGCAUGAGCACAGUAUGGAUGAAGUGUGAGGAGAUAGAAUCUCACUUCAGGAACUAGGGAACCAGUUAUAAUGGAAAGGUACCGGAAGUGUGAGAGGGGGACCUGCCAGAGCACCCCCCAUCCCAGGGCAGGGGGUAUUUUUUGUGCAUAAGCCCAGGCCAAAACUGAGCUUGAGAGAUUGGCUUUGCCAAUUACCCUGUCUCAAUGCAGUCCCUAAGCUAUGCUUCCAAUUAUACAGCUUAAGAAACUUCCUUAUUUCUUUUAACAGAAGAAGCACAGAUAUCAGCAGAGAAAAUUCCAGUACUAACAUUCUUGUUAUUUCAAGCAACAUUUCCAUUUGAUGCUGGAUGUCUUCUGCUAAUGAGCACCAGACUUAAUAAUUUACAAAGAAAAGCAGGUCAAAUGUGAAAUUGUUAGUGUGAUAUGGCUGCUGGUUUCAUUUAUUUUGUAAAUGGACUAUUUCUAGGUUUUAAAUUAUUUGGUCUAACUAACGCCCCCUUUUAUUUACAAACAUGCACACCAGAAUCUAGGGGGAACAAAAAAGCAUCUCUGAAAAAGUAAACUUAAGCUUAGAAUAAUCUUGUUACACUAACCUAGAAAGUUAAAACCACACAAAACUAGAUAGAUCUACAUCAUAGGAUACUACGCUGCUCGUAAGAACAAAGUCAUACAUAAUAUUCAGGGAUAUUUGGAAAUGGCAUUGUGUUAAAUGGAAAGUAGUGCACAGAGAAGGAGCCAAACUGUGUUUAAAAAAUAAAAAGUAAGCAGAAAAAAGAUUGGAAGAACAUACACUAAAAUAUUAAGAAGAGUUCUCAUGGGAAAGAGA